This 543-nucleotide long non-coding RNA is filed under the name Polistes fuscatus (common paper wasp). RNAcentral describes it as "uncharacterized LOC122524822". The record is from RNAcentral. Lineage: Eukaryota; Metazoa; Arthropoda; Insecta; Hymenoptera; Vespidae.
CAGGAGUAGCAGCAGCAACAUCAGUAGCAGUAACAGCAGCAACCAACAGGAGUCAGCAAUGACACCACCGACUGUGGCUAACAGAAGCAGCAAAAUCACAGGACCGCGAAAUGGUGUACUCAAAUGCACCGAAAUACGCAUCGGUGCAAAUACCCUGCUUGUGCGAAUUGCGGCUAAUCUAACAGCGACACCGCCAAUUGUAACGCAAUAUAAAAUGGCGCUGAUGGUGGUAGUGGUGGCAGUGGUAGAGAGUUGGUCGUGGUAGUAGUGGUUGCCAAUGAAUGUGUAGACCAACGCCCGGACGCGUGGUCAAACGCGCUGCAGCGAUCAUCGGAUCAGCUUAAUCAAAUAAAGAGAACGUGGGCUCUGCACAAUAUCAAAUGGAUCCCGAACUUGCGGUACUACAAAUCGAAUACCAAGACGAUUCACGAUUGGUCCUGCAGAAAGCUUAGUCAGCGGAAUAAAGUGAUCAUGAUUUAUGAUUUUUCCAGAUGAAAACUUUUGUCAUUUAAAAUAUAUAAAACAAAUAAAAUUCUUAUUCGA